This 484-nucleotide ribosomal RNA is filed under the name uncultured bacterium. Its description in RNAcentral is "partial 16S ribosomal RNA". It matches the Rfam family "Bacterial small subunit ribosomal RNA", at positions 30 to 507 of the family's 1533-position model. The record is from RNAcentral.
AUUGAACGCUAGCGGGAUGCUUUACACAUGCAAGUCGAACGGCAGCGCGGACUUCGGUCUGGCGGCGAGUGGCGAACGGGUGAGUAAUGUAUCGGAACGUGCCCAGUAGCGGGGGAUAACUACGCGAAAGCGUAGCUAAUACCGCAUAGGCCCUACGGGGGAAAGCAGGGGAUCGUAAGACCUUGCACUAUUUGAGCGGCCGAUAUCGGAUUAGCUAGUUGGGGAGGUAACGGCUCACCAAGGCGACGAUCCGUAGCUGGUUUGAGAGGACGACCAGCCACACUGGGACUGAGACACGGCCCAGACUCCUACGGGAGGCAGCAGUGGGGAAUUUUGGACAAUGGGGGCAACCCUGAUCCAGCCAUCCCGCGUGUGCGAUGAAGGCCUUCGGGUUGUAAAGCACUUUUGGCAGGAAAGAAACGUCGCGGGCUAAUACCCCGUGGAACUGACGGUACCUGCAGAAUAAGCACCGGCUAACUACGUG